Molecule: ribosomal RNA, 322 nt
Filed under: uncultured eukaryote
Lineage: Eukaryota
Description: partial 18S ribosomal RNA
Rfam family: Eukaryotic small subunit ribosomal RNA
Source: RNAcentral
CCCUUAGAUGUUCUGGGCCGCACGCGUGCUACACUGAGUGGAUCAGCGGGUCAGGUUGCGCGAAAGCGUUUCCUAAUCUUUAAAUCCGCUCGUGAUGGGGAUUGACGGUUGCAAUUUUCUGUCAUGAACGAGGAAUACCUUGUAAGCGCGGGUCAUCAUCCCGCGCUGAAUACGUCCCUGCCCUUUGUACACACCGCCCGUCGCUCCUACCGAUUGAGUGGUCCGGUGAGGCUUUGGGAUCUGAGCGGAAAGAGCGUUUCGCUGUUUCUGCUCGGAAAACUCAGUCGAACCUUAUCAUUUAGAGGAAGGAGAAGUGGUAACA